GACGAACGCUGGCGGCGCGCCUAACACAUGCAAGUCGAGCGAUGAAAUUUUAACCGUUCUCUUCGGAGAGAAGAUAAAAUGGAUUAGCGGCGGACGGGUGAGUAACACGUGAGAAACCUGCCUUUCACAAGGGGAUAGCCUCGGGAAACCGGGAUUAAUACCCUAUGACACAUUUCCUUCGCAUGGAAGAAAUGUUAAAACUCCGGUGGUGAAAGAUGGUCUCGCGCCUGAUUAGCUAGUUGGUGGGGUAACGGCCCACCAAGGCCAUGAUCAGUAACCGGCCUGAGAGGGAGAACGGUCACAUUGGAACUGGGGCACGGUCCAGACUCCUACGGGAGGCAGCAGUGGGGAAUAUUGAGCAAUGGAGGAAACGCUGAUGCAGCGUCGCCGCGGGAGCGAUGAAGGCUUUCGAGUCGUAAAGCUCUGUCCUAUGGGAAGAUAAUGACGGUACCAUAGGAGGAAGCCCCGGCUAACUACGUG
This 480-nucleotide ribosomal RNA is filed under the name uncultured bacterium. Its description in RNAcentral is "partial 16S ribosomal RNA". It matches the Rfam family "Bacterial small subunit ribosomal RNA", at positions 28 to 507 of the family's 1533-position model. The record is from RNAcentral.